UCUUCCGCAGUGGACGGAAGUCUGACGGAGCGACGCCGCUUGGAGGAGGAAGCCCUUCGGGGUGUAAACUCCCCCCACCGGGGACGAAAGCCCCGUGUAGGGGGAUGACGGUACCCAGGUAAUAGCGCCGGCCAACUCCGUGCCAGCAGCCGCGGUAAUACGGAGGGCGCGAGCGUUACCCGGAUUUACUGGGCGUAAAGGGCGUGUAGGCGGCCCGGGGCGUCCCAUGUGAAAGGCCACGGCUCAACCGUGGAGGAGCGUGGGAUACGCUCAGGCUAGAGGGUGGGAGAGGGUGGUGGAAUUCCCGGAGUAGCGGUGAAAUGCGCAGAUACCGGGAGGAACGCCGAUGGCGAAGGCAGCCACCUGUCCACUUCUGACGCUGAGGCGCGAAG
Molecule: ribosomal RNA, 392 nt
Filed under: uncultured bacterium
Lineage: Bacteria
Description: bacterial SSU rRNA
Rfam family: Bacterial small subunit ribosomal RNA
Source: RNAcentral